Long non-coding RNA from Paramacrobiotus metropolitanus, 622 nucleotides. RefSeq lists it as uncharacterized. The record is from RefSeq and is a predicted model, not a curated record. The transcript has 4 exons. Lineage: Eukaryota; Metazoa; Tardigrada; Eutardigrada; Parachela; Macrobiotidae.
GAAAAAGUCCGCCAGGGUCGUUGCAAAAUUUUUCCACUGGAGCCAAAGCCACGUUUCUGUUAACGAUUACUCCGCUAAUUGCAGAAUUUAUGAAUUUCUUGUACACGAAUUUCGGGGCUGCUAUAAACUACGAGGGUUUGAGUGGAAAAAGUUGGCCUGAACUUCUCAAAGAAUUUUUCCACCUUGUCAACGAAUGGAAAAUCAUCGCCGUACAACCUUGAAGCCGGACUCGCAUGGCCGGAAAUAUUUCAGUUUCCGGUAAUAGUGAUCCAAUAACGCGAGAGCAUCACUGAUGGACUUUGCACCAUUAACUGUGAUCUUGCCGUUGCGGUACACUUGGCAGUGCGAUUUGUAAGGACGAAUGGAACGGAGAAGAAGCCCGGAAAACUUAUGUGGUGCAUAAUGAGCAAGCGGAGCGCGUUCGGAUAAGCUGGGUAAGUCAAUUGCGCAGCCAAGGUCAGCAGUUGCAACAACGUUAGUUAUUUUCGCCAUUCAGCCAAUUUGCAAAUGUCUCCGCUUUUGAAAGCGUUGUUUGUGGUAAUGAAGUAAGCUCCUUAAACUUCGGGCACCCAAUGUCUUCAAGAUUAAACACUUCAGGCAAAUAAUUUUCCAAAAUCUUUUG